This 272-nucleotide ribosomal RNA is filed under the name uncultured bacterium. RNAcentral's name for it is "partial 16S ribosomal RNA". It matches the Rfam family "Bacterial small subunit ribosomal RNA", at positions 28 to 312 of the family's 1533-position model. The record is from RNAcentral.
GAUGAACGUUGGCGGCGUGCCUAACACAUGCAAGUCGAACGAUCCCUUCGGGGAUAGUGGCGCACGGGUGAGUAACACGUAGCUUACCAGCCUCUCAGCGCGGGAUAACGGUUCGAAAGAGCUGCUAAUACCGCAUAAGCUCACGGGUUGUAGAGACCAGCGAGAAAAGGACUUAGGUCACUGAGAGACGGGGCUGCGGCCCAUCAGCUAGUUGGUGCGGUAACGGCGACCAAGGCGACGACGGGUAGGGACCUGAGAGGGUCGACCCCNCC